CAGUAGCCACGGGAAUACGGAGGGUGCAAGCGUUAUCCGGAUUUAUUGGGUUUAAAGGGUCCGUAGGCGGAUCUGUAAGUCAGUGGUGAAAUCUCACAGCUUAACUGUGAAACUGCCAUUGAUACUGCAGGUCUUGAGUAAAUUUGAAGUGGCUGGAAUAAGUAGUGUAGCGGUGAAAUGCAUAGAUAUUACUUAGAACACCAAUUGCGAAGGCAGGUCACUAAGAUUUAACUGACGCUGAUGGACGAAAGCGUGGGGAGCGAACAGGAUUAGAUACCCGCGUAGUCCCUGUCUCUUAUAC
RNAcentral lists this ribosomal RNA (301 nucleotides) under uncultured bacterium. RNAcentral's name for it is "partial 16S ribosomal RNA". It matches the Rfam family "Bacterial small subunit ribosomal RNA", at positions 509 to 807 of the family's 1533-position model. The record is from RNAcentral.